CAAGUACGGGGGCUCGCAAGGGCAACCGGCGAACGGGUGCGUAACACGUGAGCAACCCGCCGAUCUGAGGGGGAUAGCCGGCCCAACGGCCGGGUAAUACCGCAUACGUUCUCGAGGGGGAGUCCCCUUGAGAAGAAACCUCCGGGGCAGAUCGAGGGGCUCGCGGCCUAUCAGCUAGUUGGCGGUGUAAUGGACCACCAAGGCUAUGACGGGUAGCUGGUCUGAGAGGAUGGCCAGCCACAUUGGGACUGAGAGACGGCCCAGACUCCUACGGGAGGCAGCAGUGGGGAAUCUUGCGCAAUGGCCGAAAGGCUGACGCAGCGACGCCGCGUGUGGGAUGAAGCUCUUCGGGGUGUAAACCACUGUUGCCCGGGACGAACAUCCUCUUUCGAGAGGACUGACGGUACCGGGUGAGGAAGCACCGGCUAACUCCGUGCCAGCAGCCGCGGUAAUACGGAGGGUGCGAGCGUUGUCCGGAAUCACUGGGCGUAAAGGGCGCGUAGGUGGCCUGUGGAAGUCUGCGGUGAAAGCCCGGCGCUCAACGCCGGGUCGGCCGUGGAUACUCUCGGGCUUUGAGCUUACUAGAGGCAGAUGGAAUUCCGGGUGUAGCGGUUGGAAUGCGUAGAGAUCCGGAAGAACACCGGUGGCGAAGGCGGUCUGCUGGGGUAAUGCUGACACCUGAUGCCGCGACAGCGUGGGGAAGCAAACAGGAUUAGAUACCCUGGUUAGUUCCACGCCGUAAACGAUUGGGCACUAGAUGCUUGGGGGAAC
Molecule: ribosomal RNA, 771 nt
Filed under: uncultured Gemmatimonadota bacterium
Lineage: Bacteria; Pseudomonadati; Gemmatimonadota
Description: bacterial SSU rRNA
Rfam family: Bacterial small subunit ribosomal RNA
Source: RNAcentral